Peromyscus maniculatus bairdii (prairie deer mouse) is the source of this 130-nucleotide small nucleolar RNA. RefSeq annotates it as small nucleolar RNA SNORA3/SNORA45 family. NCBI's taxonomy places the organism in Eukaryota, Metazoa, Chordata, Mammalia, Rodentia, Cricetidae. The record is from RefSeq and is a predicted model, not a curated record.
UCCUAUGCUGGAGUCCCACUCAAGUAUUGGUUGCUGCCUUGGUAUGCUAGAGUCCUGGAAGAGUAACUGUUGACCUUGUUCACCAGCUAUGGACUUUCUGGCACUGUCCAUCACCAGGUUAGUGACAUGU